RNAcentral lists this ribosomal RNA (381 nucleotides) under uncultured eukaryote. RNAcentral's name for it is "partial 18S ribosomal RNA". It matches the Rfam family "Eukaryotic small subunit ribosomal RNA", at positions 592 to 976 of the family's 1831-position model. The record is from RNAcentral.
CAAUAGCGUAUAUUAAAGCUGUUGCGGUUAAAAAGCUCGUAGUUGGAUUUCUGUCAAGGACAACUGGUCCGCCCUCCGGGUGAGCACAUAGUUUGGUCUUGGCAUCUUGCUGGGAACUGUUGCUGCGCUUGGUUGUGUGGUGCAGCUUUCAGCACUUUCACUUUGAGGAAAUUGGAGUGUUUCAAGCAGGCACAUGCCUUUGGACACAGUAGCAUGGAAUAAUUAGAUUGGGCUUUUGCUCCAACUUGUUGGUUCCUGGAGCUGAGGUGAGAAUCAAUGGGGAUUGUUGGGGGCAUCCGAAUUUAGCCGUCAGAGGUGAAAUUCUUGGAUCUGCUAAAGACGGACAACUGCGAAAGCGUUUGCCCAGGAUGUUUUCAUUGA